AUGAUUUAAUAUGGCGUCGACUCGUUUGCGCGGGAAGUGAGUGCGCUUCGUCUCGCGUUAAUUAUCCGAUUUACGCGUCGCGUUUAUAACAAAGCGCCGAGAUCUCGGUUAUCGUAUGGUGGGGAUUGGCGACGUACGUGCAAGUUCGAGCCUCCUCUUUCCCCCAUUAUACCGCUCCCUAACCUACUACUUGGCUGUACGCAGGCACCGUUUGUUGCGUUUAUAAUAAAAAGCGGAAGUGUAUAAAGUGACGGACGAUUAUCGCGUUAAUUAAUCGUAGUUUCGGUUCGCGAGGAAACAUGCGGAAUCGGUCAGCGACAAAGAAUUGCGGUGCGUCGACUGCGGGAUGUUCUUCUUUUCUCUUUGCAGAUCGUUUCAAGAAACAGUGUUUUUCACGCGAGGAUCUGCAUAUAUAAAGUGAUUAGUCGCAGUUUCCCUAUCGGUUCGUGUGUUCACGAGAAAAAAUAUAUUCGAAACAAUAUAAAACGGCCAGCGACAAAGAGUUGCGAUGGAUCGACUGGUCGUUCCACGAAAUAGUAUCGUUUUUCACGCGAGGCGGAUCUGCAUAUAAAGUGAUUAGUCGUAGUUUCCCGAUCGUGUAUCCGUGAAAAAACAUUCGGAACGAUAAAACGACUAGCGACAGAGUUGUGAUGGAUCGACUGGUCGGUUUCACGCGAAGCGGAUCCGCAUCCGUAAAGUAAUGCGUGCAUCGGCAGGAUCUAUUUCGCAGGAUUAAGAAUAAGAAACGCAGAAAGCGGCAUCGCGCAUUUGCAUUUCCAUAUAUGGCGAAUCGAAGAAAGGGCGUCUUUUGCGGUCAUUUUUCUUGUUGGCUCGUCGAUUCGUAUCCGUGAAUUUAUUGCUUCGGCCAUGAGACGUGCGCGGACCAGACUUUUGAUCCGCGAUUCGCCACGCUUCGAAGAAACCUCUUCGGGAUGGCGCCUUGUCCGUCAGUUUCUCUCAUCCUGAGGUGGAGACAUUUGGCGAUACACAUCGAUUACCCGUCGUUUCUGCAAGUUCUAGCGAGUGCAAUUCCGCCUCUUUAAUAAUAUUGUGCAAUAUGCGCGAAAUAUGCGUGCGAUUCGCGUUGGGAGUGCCGUCUAAAGUAUUGCGUAUCGGGAGUGCCGUGUAAAGUGUCGGGCGAUCGUAAUUCGUAUUUUCGCGAGUGUCGUGAGUGCUAAGGACCAAGAAAGGAGGAGGAGGCGGCCCGGGAAGGCAUCGGGCAACAACGGGACAACUGCGAGAUCAAUUUGCUGUAUACUAGAACUUCGCAUUGCACCGAUCGGUAGCGUUGCGGUUUACACGUCGUGUCGGGAGUGCCGUAUAAAAUGUGUCGGGCGAUCGUAAUUAUUCAUGUUUUCACGAGUGUCGUGAGUGCUACGAAUGACCAAGAGAGGAGGAGGAGGUCCGGGGAGGCAUCGGGCAACAACGGGACAACUGCGAGAUCAAUGUGCUGUCUACUGCAGCUUCACGAUUGUCAGCAUCGAUUUUCAGUACGAUCGUGUGAACGCAUUUUCCAUGGACGGGAUCACUUUCUUCCAGUCUCUUAAGAAGAAGCGUCGAGAUGCGGUGAUAGCGAGCUUCGCAUAGCAGCUGUUGCUGCGUAUGAUAGCGUAAGGCAAGGUUUAAUGUACCUCGAAGCCGACGUGAGCGCAUACUUACCUAUCCGCGUUGCUGUUUACUCCCUUCACGAGCGGCAUAUGGCGCACAAUGAUUUUUCCUUGGAGAUAAUUAUGCGAAACCAUCUAUCCGAGUAAAGGACACCGCUUGCGCCUCUUUUCUUCCUUCCUUCUCUUGCGCUACUCUGUUUCACGUAUGGGGACUCUCGUUACUUACGCCGGGAGAAAGUUGCGUCAUAAGCGAGCGUGAAUAUAAUGCGCUCAGAGUAGUUUGAAAAUUGCCCAUCUGCUCUAUUAGUAAGAUACCGUCAGUGCGAAAUUAAAUAAUGUGAAGGAUGUACGAUUUCAAAAUAUGAUCUAAUCAGAAUAUGGAUAACGUUAUUUUUUUCAGUACUUUACACCUAUAGUUAUAAUAAUAUUUCGCGUGGCUCUUUUUUCUCAUUACGUAGACGCACGUAGGGGGACAGACGAGAAGGAAGGACGAGAAAGAGAGAGAGAGAAAGUCUCGUCUGCUAAUUUGAAUAUGAGUUGCGGGGGUGUCGGUAACGGGCAGCUGCACAACUCGCAUAAAACAUAAAACGUCUCUAGAACCAUUUGCUCCUCCAGACGGAGGAACGUGGGUGCGUUCGAGUCAAGCCAAAUAUCUACCUACUCCUUUGAGUACCGAAAGAUCUCCUGCGAACGACGCCCCGAAGACAAAACGCUCGCGUGUCCCGAACAAAUUCUUUGAACUCUGACGAAACUCGUUGGCUUUUCGCUCGUUGAUGCACGAAUUUAUAUUGUAUAUGUAUGUGAGAAAAAAAUAAAAAUUUUUAUUGUUUUAAUAAAUACUUAUUAUAGUUUUAUAUUGUGUACAUAAGUUCCGAUAAUUUAUAAACGAUGGUUUCUCUUAUCUUCCCAUCCCACGCAAUCAUAUCUUAUAAUUGGAUGAAAGUUUUUUUUAAAUGACGCGAACAAUUUCAAGAAUGCGACAAGAGGUGGCGGUCAUUAUGUAUUUAUGAAAAAUUUAUAGCAUCUAUUUUCAUAAAAUAUGGAAUAUAUAUGACAUAUUAAUCGAUUCGAGAAAGUUUGUCUCUCCGUUAACUUUCCAUCAAACCUGUUUGUACAUUAGAAUUCUAAGCAAAUAUUGUAGAGCUUCGAUAUAAUGUAUACGUAGGUGUAAAAUAAACUUGUAAAAAUUUUUAUGAAAUUACAAUGGUAAUGCAUUUUUCUACUUCCAUCAUAUGUCUGUCUGCGUUUCUCCAUUUGCUUUUUAUAUAUUUUUGUUAGAGAUAUUUACAUAAUAACGCAUUUUAUCAUGCCAGUUGAAAUGGGUUACAUUUUAAUACGAAAAAGCUUAUGUUAGAUAUUUUAUUGGAUAUAUAUACGAGAAAUUUUUACACCAUAUAUACAUACACACACACAUAUAGGAUUAGAUUUUAUCUCGUCGAUUAACUAGCACCUUUUUUUAUGCAUCUGCCAUUUUACCAUAAUGUUCAUAUAAUCAGCCACUCAACAGUAUAAACGCUCGCAUGCGUUUUACUUGCGCAACAUCGCUGGAAGAAUUAUUUUUAUCUUUAACGAGACACAACGUCCGUUUAUACGUACGUAAAAAAUAUUCACAGCCUUUGUUAGAUUUAGCUCUAUGCAUAUAAAUAUUUCCAUAACGGACAACAAAGACAAUGUUCAUUAAUAUUGUAAAACCCGUUUGUCGUCACAG
This is a non-coding RNA of Nylanderia fulva, 3315 nucleotides long. The record is from RefSeq and is a predicted model, not a curated record. Lineage: Eukaryota; Metazoa; Arthropoda; Insecta; Hymenoptera; Formicidae.